Molecule: ribosomal RNA, 575 nt
Filed under: uncultured Tremellales
Lineage: Eukaryota; Fungi; Basidiomycota; Tremellomycetes; Tremellales
Description: eukaryotic LSU rRNA
Rfam family: 5.8S ribosomal RNA (bases 182-335)
Source: RNAcentral
UCCGUAGGUGAACCUGCGGAGGGAUCAUUACCGAGAAAAGGCGCUCUGCGUCCGGCCUCCAACCCUUUGUUCGUCUCAACCAUGUUGCCUCGGGGGGCGACCCGGCCCUCGUGCCGGGCGACCCCGGAGGUCCAUCAAACUCUGCAUCCUUGCGUCGGAGUAUUGAAAGCAAAUCAAUCAAAACUUUUAACAACGGAUCUCUUGGCUCUGGCAUCGAUGAAGAACGCAGCGAAAUGCGAUAAGUAAUGUGAAUUGCAGAAUUCAGUGAAUCAUCGAAUCUUUGAACGCACCUUGCGCCUCUUGGCAUUCCGAAGGGCAUGCCCGUUCGAGCGUCAUGAAAUCUCAAUCCCCAUGGGUUUUUGCGAACCUGUGGUGGACUUGGGAUUGGGCGUCUUUUGCCUCCCCAGGCUCGCCUCAAAUGUAUCUGUGGGAUCUCUGUGACCCAUGCCCGACGUAAUAAGUUUCGUCAUGGCCGGUCUGCAGGGGCCUGCUUAUAACACACCAUAUCUUUUUGACAUUGACCUCAAAUCAGGUAGGGCUACCCGCUGAACUUAAGCAUAUCAAUAAGCGGAGGA